CUUCCCUACGGGACGCAGCAGUGGGGAAUAUUGCACAAUGGGCGAAAGCCUGAUGCAGCAACGCCGCGUGAGCGAAGAAGGUCUUCGGAUUGUAAAGCUCUGUCCUAGGGGAAGAAGAAAAUGACGGUACCCUUGGAGGAAGCCCCGGCUAACUACGUGCCAGCAGCCGCGGUAAUACGUAGGAUGCGAGCGUUAUCCGGAUUUAUUGGGUUUAAAGGGUGCGCAGGCGGUCUGUUAAGUCAGCGGUCAAAGCCCGGGGCUCAACCCCGGCCCGCCGUUGAAACUGGCAGGCUCGUGUU
This 299-nucleotide ribosomal RNA is filed under the name uncultured bacterium. RNAcentral's name for it is "partial 16S ribosomal RNA". It matches the Rfam family "Bacterial small subunit ribosomal RNA", at positions 334 to 648 of the family's 1533-position model. The record is from RNAcentral.